Mus caroli (Ryukyu mouse) is the source of this 395-nucleotide long non-coding RNA. RefSeq lists it as uncharacterized. NCBI's taxonomy places the organism in Eukaryota, Metazoa, Chordata, Mammalia, Rodentia, Muridae. The record is from RefSeq and is a predicted model, not a curated record.
CCAAAGCCAAGUAGUAGCCAACAAGGAAGCAGAGACUUAACUAAGAAUGUGAUCAAAGAAAUUAUCAGAUGGAAAUAAUUCUCCUAGAUCUGCAUGUUCACAAUUGAAUGUCAGUUUUCCAUGUGCUACUUAUCCCUCUGGCAUUCUCACUACUCCUUCCUCAACCCUGUUGAUGAAGACAACUGGAUCAUGGCAACCUCUGAGUGUGUUCUCACUCGUGGUGUCUCUUCUAUGCUGUAGACUCUUCAUCACUUGGUAUCAUUACAAGCAUCAACCACUGAUAAAGCACCCAUAACUGACACUGGAGAAUACAAGGAUAAACAGCAUUUACAUGCACAUGCUAGUAGCAGUCACCAACUAAAGCCAAGGCAACCCACAAGAGCCACAUCCCAGAG